This is a non-coding RNA of Scytonema hofmannii PCC 7110, 68 nucleotides long. The record is from Rfam. Lineage: Bacteria; Bacillati; Cyanobacteriota; Cyanophyceae; Nostocales; Scytonemataceae.
UGUUGUGUGAGGAGCGAACCAGCGAGAGCACCGAGACGAAACACGGCCAGUCGUCGGUGCUCUUUCUG